AUCCAGCUGACGAGUCUCGAACAAAACAUAACGCGCGUCCUGGAU
This 45-nucleotide non-coding RNA is filed under the name Schistosoma margrebowiei. Lineage: Eukaryota; Metazoa; Platyhelminthes; Trematoda; Strigeidida; Schistosomatidae. The record is from RNAcentral.